AGAGUUUGAUCAUGGCUCAGAGUGAUCGCUGGCGGCNNGCUUAACACAUGCAAGUCGAGCGAAUUUCUGCAGUGUAUCGCAGGAGUUAGCGGCAGACGGGUGAGUAAUACUUGGGCAAUCUGCCCUUGAGUGGGAAACAACCGGCCGAAAGGCUGGCUAAUGUCCCAUAAGACCACAGGGAUGCAUAUUCCAGGGGUCAAAGCUCCGCAAGGGGGCUUGAGGAGGAGCCCGAGUCCUAUCAUGGUAGUUGGUGAGGUAACGGCUCACCAAGCCUUUGACGGGUAGCGGCCUGAAAGGGUGAUCGCCACCUGGCACUGAGACACGGGCCAGCUCUACGGGAGGCAGCAGUGGGGAAUUUUGGACAAUGGGGGCAACCCUGAUCCAGCGCGCCGCGUGAAGGACGAAGAUCUUCGGAUUGUAAACUUCUUUUGGAGGGGAUGAACGCCUGGUGAAUAGCCAGGGGUGACAGUACUCUCAGAAUAAGCCACGGCUAACUACGUGCCAGCAGCCGCGGUAAUACGUAGGUGGCAAGCGAUACUCGGAAUCACUAGGCGUAAAGCGCAGGUAGGCGGUUUGGUAAGUCUUUUGUGAAAGCUCCCGGCUCAACUGGGAGAGGUCAAGGGAAACUCCGGACUAGAGUGUGGUAGGGGAUACUGGAAUUCCUGGUGUAGCGGUGAAAUGCGUAGAUAUCAGGAGGAAUACCUAUGGCGAAAGCAGGUAUCUGGGCCAUCACUGACGCUGAGCUGCGAAAGCUAGGGGAGCAAACAGGAUUAGAUACCCUAGUAGUCC
This 789-nucleotide ribosomal RNA is filed under the name uncultured bacterium. RNAcentral describes it as "bacterial SSU rRNA". It matches the Rfam family "Bacterial small subunit ribosomal RNA", at positions 8 to 796 of the family's 1533-position model. The record is from RNAcentral.